CCUCAGACUAGCUAAGUAUUCCAUUUUACGUCUCCAUUUAUACUUUUGUUAUACUUGGGAUUGUACAUUAUUUUAUCUGAUUUUCUUAUCAACAGUCAUUACUGUGUCUCUCGGAGUGUUGUCUUUCCCAUUUUCCCUGCCCUUCUCCUUUGGGGCCUCCCUUUUUCCCUGCUCACAUUCUUCUCCCUUACCGAGUUACCACUUCCCAGGCCUCCUGCUCGACCGUCCACACUGUUUCUGUAUUAGACCUGCAGAUGGCCUUGGGCCGCGGUCUUCGCCAUUCUCGGAGGCAUGCAAAUUUUUCUAGGCUGCAGUUUUUCCCCUCUGAC
Pelobates cultripes (western spadefoot toad) is the source of this 329-nucleotide non-coding RNA. NCBI's taxonomy places the organism in Eukaryota, Metazoa, Chordata, Amphibia, Anura, Pelobatidae. The record is from the annotation of a GenBank genome assembly.